Molecule: RNA transcript, 5656 nt
Organism: Calidris pugnax (ruff)
Lineage: Eukaryota; Metazoa; Chordata; Aves; Charadriiformes; Scolopacidae
Gene: IKZF5
Gene name: IKAROS family zinc finger 5
Exons: 6
Source: RefSeq, a predicted model, not a curated record
GAUAUCUUUGUUUUAUUGCAGGAGACACCAACAAACGGAACACAAAUUAACUUAAGCCUACACCAGGCUGGUGACAUCUGAAAGAGGGGAAAGCGGACGAGCUGUGCUCUGUGCUUUCUGUCUGACCUGUUUGGAGCACAUUUUGGAGCAUGUUUGCCACUUAGCAGGGAACUAAAAUUCAGGCACAAGAGGUUGUAAACGUAAAGAGUGAAUAUGGGUGAAAAGAAGCCAGAACCUUUGGACUUCGUAAAAGAUUUUCAGGAAUAUCUUACACAGCAGACUCACCAUGUAAAUAUGAUUUCUGGAUCAGUCAGCGGAGACAAGGAAGCAGAGACUCUUCAGGGAGCUGGGACAGAAGGUGAUCAGAAUGGUCUGGAUCAUCCUUCUGUUGAAGUUUCACUGGAUGAAAACUCAGGAAUGUUAGUGGAUGGGUUUGAAAGGACAUUUGAUGGAAAGUUAAAGUGUCGAUACUGCAAUUAUGCCAGCAAAGGAACAGCCCGGCUCAUAGAGCACAUCCGAAUUCAUACAGGUGAGAAGCCGCACAGAUGUCACUUGUGUCCCUUUGCAUCAGCUUACGAACGUCACCUGGAAGCUCACAUGAGAUCCCACACUGGUGAAAAACCAUACAAAUGUGAAUUGUGUUCCUUUCGCUGCAGCGACAGAAGCAACUUAUCUCACCACCGCAGGCGCAAGCAUAAAAUGGUGCCCAUCAAGGGUACGAGGUCUUCCCUAAGCAGCAAGAAAAUGUGGGGGGUUUUGCAGAAGAAGACCAGCAAUUUGGGCUACAGCAGAAGAGCGUUAAUUAAUUUGAGUCCGCCUUCCAUGGUGGUGCAGAAACCAGACUACCUUAAUGAUUUCACUCACGAAAUCCCAAAUAUCCAGACUGAAGCUUAUGAGAACAUGACAAAACCAACCCAGAGCAGUGGGUUGCCAAGAGAUCCACAGGACCUCAUGGUAGAUAAUCCUUUAAACCAGCUCUCGACGUUAGCCGGCCAGUUAUCCAGCUUGCCACCUGAAAACCAAAACCCAGCCUCUCCUGACGUUGUUUCCUGUCAAGAUGAAAAGCCUUUCAUGAUCCAGCAGCCUGCAGCACCUGCAGGAGUUUCUGCUGUGUCAGCAAAUAUUCCUCAAAGUUCAUCUCCAACCAGCCCGGAUCCUCGGCCUACACACAAUCAAAGGAACUAUAGCCCCGUGGCGGGUCCCAGCAGCGAUCGCAGCGCCCACACCAGUACUCCCAGUAUAAGCAACAGUCAACCGAGUACUCCUGCUCCCACCCUUCCAGUUCAGGACCCUCAGCUUCUGCAUCACUGCCAACACUGUGACAUGUACUUCGCGGACAAUAUUCUUUAUACUAUUCACAUGGGAUGUCAUGGAUUUGAAAAUCCUUUUCAGUGCAACAUAUGUGGGUGUAAGUGUAAAAAUAAGUAUGACUUCGCUUGCCAUUUUGCAAGAGGCCAACAUAGUCAACAUUGACUGAGAAAACACUCUUUCGUUUAGUUUUUUAACAUAUUACAGUAUAUUUUUCAUACUUGCUAAAGGAAAGCUUGCACGUUCCCGUAAGGAAUAUUCACCAUUAAUCAGCUCGACAAAGGAGGCACAUUUCUUUCCACGUGGUCGUAAAACUUGCCAGGGAAAUUUUGUGUAAGAUGUGGUUGUUAUUUUACAUGUAGCCUUUCAAAAAAAAAAAAACAAAACAAACUGAGGGAGUGCUUUAAGAAUUGGAAUGCUUUUACGUGCUUUGGUUGCUAAAUUCUAGUUGCUUGCACUUAAUCCCAAUAAACAUUCUACAACUGCAGAAGCAGAGCGUGUGUCCUCAAAGAUAGGAUGCAAUUAUCAGGCUAUUUACUGGGCACAGCAAAAUACAUUAACCAGAAAAUAGGAAAUGGUGGUGGAGUGACACAUCUGGUUACUUUGGAGACAUCCUUAAAAAACUUAAUUACUCCAAACUGGAUAAACAGAAGCAACUUUCACAUGCAAAUCCGAUUUGAUGUAAAACUUGCUUUAAUCUGGUGAAGGUUAAUAAUGAGUUUUUGCUUAGGAUAGUCUAAACUCUUCAUGUUAGAGCUCAAACACUAGUUGAACUGUUAUUUUUAAAACUCAUCACAGAACUAGAACAUAACGGGUUGUUGUGAAUGAAACUCUGGUAGGAAAAAGGAAGAGUUAGAAGCUCGUCACUCACUAGUUAUACAAAAGAAAAAUGAAAUACGACACCUUAUUUUAAACUACACUUACCAAAAUUUACAUGUCAUUCUUUUUUAAAAGGAGGAAAUUUUUAAACAGUCAUUAUAAAGAGCUUGUAGAACUAAUAUAUAUUCCGUGAGAUUUUUUAACUGCCUUAAACUAAUUUGUACAGAUAUUUAAAAUUUGCACAAUUAGCCUUUUGUCUUGCUGACAGAAGUUCUACUAGAAACGAAGGAGAGGUUUACAAAUGAAAAAGCAUUUGUUCAGUUGGAUCGCGGGCCAAGCUCCAGCGGAGAGGUUGCCUGUAUGUUUGAAAGUCCUACAAUCUGCUUUAUUGUAAAUUUGGGACUGGGUUUGUCUCAUCCUUUCCCUUGGACUCGUUGUCCUUUCCUUGUGCUAGAAAUGGAGGGAAGGGUUUUCUGAGCUGUCGGUGCGGGAGGCGGGCGCAGGCGUGCCUGGUGGAGGUCAGUGUGGUGAAUAAUUGCAGGUGGUAACUCAAGGUGUACAUGAAGUCCCUUGCACACAUUUUGGGGUUGUUUUUUUAUUAUACUGUACAUCUUAACUUUGGAAGCACCUAGGCUAACGGACAGGCACUUUAAUAGAAACCUAAAUUAAACAUCCUAGCAAAAUUAAUUAAAGCUCUUAAUAUGCUACACAGCAAUUUGUAAUGUUUCCAAAAGUGAAGAACUGUUACUUUUCCCCUGUUUAGACAUGCACUUUUCCCUUAGUUUGUCUUACUCGAGACAAAUUAAAGCUUCCCUUACAUGUUCCCUUCUAUUAUCAGCAAAAUAUGGCAGCAAAUACAUUUUUUGUUAAAAGCAGGAAGAUUUUAUUAACGUUCUGCAAGUCAGAGGUUGGAAUCUGAAUAGCAAAUGUUUGGCUUUUUCAAAUGUACAUCGUUGUGGGAGCCAAAGCUUCCUGAAGCUGAUGGAAAAACUUACAAUGACUUCAGUGUAAGAUCAACGUAGGAAAAACCACCCUUCUGAGAAUUUUAGUCUUAGAAGUAAUUUUGACUUUAAUGAAUGAGAAAUUUGGGAACUGAAUACGAUUCUGUCUCCCUGACUUACCUACUGUUGAGUUGUCUGUGCUGAAGUAACCAGCUGAAGGGAUUGGAUUCUCUUGGCUGCGCGUUGUAGUAAAGGGGUCAAAAAUAUGCCUUUGAAGUUUCCUUUCCAAUGUAGUGAAGAUGAAUGAUGACACACUGUCGCUUCUAAAAAUGCUUUUGGUUUCAGGCCUUGUCAAAAUCCAUUUCUGUGGAUUUAUAAAGCAGAAUGUAAUCUCUGUUUUUCGUAACGACGCUUCUUGUAAUUCCAAAAUAUCCCUUUGUUGCUUCCUACUUUUAAAAUUUAUUUUAUGAGCAAAACAGCAACUCAGUAUUGCAUAAACACACAGAGUGCUGUAUUUUAAGGACUGAAAGUUGGCUGAACUGGAAUCCAGCUGGACGUUACUGCUCCUGUCCAGGUUUUGUAACGUGGCGCUUCCAGUGGAAGAAUAACGUAGGAAUGAUCAUAUAUUGACACGUUCCAAAAUCUGAAUUUGGCUAAAAUAUGGCAUUAGAACUACAAACGUUGCUGUUGAGGACCAUUACAAUUAGUGAUUUUUAGAAGUCCUUUUCCUUGUCUGUUGAUGGAUGAUGCAAACUGCUCUUCUCCUCCUGCCCCUGGGCUCAGCAGGGAGGUGCCUCCUGCACACAGAGGUUUGAGGUUUCACCCUUCCCUUGAUUUCUGAACCAUGAUGCUCCCGAAGGAAAUUUUAGAUGGGAGAAGGGUUGGGUCACUAGAGGCAGCUGGGAGCACGAGGAAGCCCGUGUGAUCUUAUUAAAAGGGGCCUCUAUUUUGGAGGGGAUCUUCUCUUGCAGGGGAGCCUAUGUUCUUAAUAAUAGAACUCAGUAUGAAAAAAAAAAAUCUAACCCCAAACCUUGCAAGUUGUUGUUUAGAAGUAUUUUAAUCCUGCUGACUUGAUACCAUUUCUGCUUCGAGGUACCCAGGGAAAACCAUGGUGAGCGUGGAGGAGGUGCUGAGCAGGGAUAAAGCUGGUUUCCCUCCCAUGUGCAAGCCCCUGUUCGUGGGGGGGUUUUAGGCAGCAGCAGGUUUUGGGGUGCAUCCCUCCGUUCUGCAGCCAGAGCUGGGGGGUGGGGCCCUGCCCACAUCCUGGUCCCACGCGCAGGGACACCCUCUGGACUAGAAUUCCACGUUUUUCAACCUAAAACUGCCUGUUCAGUUGUGCCAAACAGAACCCUGACUGUAUCCGUUUCCUUCUGUCUGCUGGGUAGGUUUGGAAGGUCUAUUUUCAUGUCAGUUUUUUCCUAAUGUUGUACAUACGAUUUACUUUAAUUUAAAGACCAGGAAUAGUACUGGAAAAAUGUUUUGGAGUGUGAUCCCGAGGAUUCCUUUGCAGGGAUAGGCCUUACCCUGCGUGGACAAGGGAUGCUGGGCAGGAAUUGUAGGAUCGAGUCCUUGGUUAGUGGGACUUCUCAUAUCGAGUUCUCCAUGUGCUUCACUGCACUCACUUGGGUUUGGGGUUUUGGUUUUUUUAAUAAAAAACCCAAACCCUCACAUCCUUAUAUUAUAAGGUGGUGAUUAGCAUUUUUAACUUGUAUGGACAGGGAAGUUUGGGAAUGAGCUGAAAUGUUUCCAUAGCUUGACCCUGUUCAAGUUCUGUAGCUGCAAACCAUUACCUUUGGUGGUUUUUUGUUUGUUUUUAUUGUAAUAGAUUAUUUUAUAGAUCUGUUGACAUUUUUAACGUGCACUAUUUAUAGUCCUUUUAAUCCAAGCUUAUUAUUUUGGGACUGAAUAUUCCAAUGAACAUGCAAAUAUCAGCCUGAAGAUCUUGGUUGAUCAUCUCAGUUAAUACUUAAACCACCCGGGAAACAGAGAACAGGGAAUAAUAGUUGUUUCUUUUCACAGACACAAUGUUUAGAUGGAGAAGAUUUUGAUGUAAAAUAUUAAUUGGCAUUUUAACAGAAAACUCCCGGCUGGAAAACACAUUCCAAGAGUGUUUCCUGGCAAAACCAACCGUUGCCAUUGGGUUUGUUCCAGAAUGUUUGGGGGGGGUUUGUUUGUUUGGGGUUUUUUUGUUGUUAUUGUUUCUUUUUGACGAAGGGAAUGUAAUUUAGAAAUCUUCACUGGCAAGUUUUCUAUUCAUUUGAAGCUUCUUUGCAAAUCUACAGCAAAUGGAUGUUCUGCUGCAGGAAAUCUAGUCCCUGCUGAAGCGGUUUUCAUUGCGCAAUCUUUGUGUCUGUGCUUCUAAGUACCUGCUUUGUUAAUAAUACGUAUUUCCGUGUAAGAGCAUAUUUUGUAUGCAAAAAAAAAAAAAAAGAAAAAAACCCCACCCGUUAGACUUGUAAAAUAAAUUUUAUUGUGUAGUGAAUGUUUUCAGAUGACAAGGUUAAUUCUGAAAUAACUAUAUCUAGUGUAGGUCAUGUUGUGGAGCUUUGCUUUUGUAAGAUACGAAUAAAAUAACACUUUCUAAUUAA